This 84-nucleotide transfer RNA is filed under the name Blastocatellia bacterium. Its description in RNAcentral is "tRNA-Leu". It matches the Rfam family "tRNA". From Rfam's summary of the family: Transfer RNA (tRNA) molecules are approximately 80 nucleotides in length. Their secondary structure includes four short double-helical elements and three loops (D, anti-codon, and T loops). Lineage: Bacteria; Pseudomonadati; Acidobacteriota; Blastocatellia. The record is from RNAcentral.
GCCGGCGUGGCGGAACUGGCAGACGCGCUGGACUCAAAAUCCAGUACUCGCAAAAGUGUGUGGGUUCGCGCCCCUCCGCCGGCA